CAGAAUGCCGAACCUACAGAAGCGUCUUCCUCUCCAGCUGCGCCACACUACACUGCUGACAUGCUGCCAUUCUUAUUUGCACUGGGUGUGCUGUUUACACUCAGUACUGGAUCUGAAUCAGCUGCUCCUGUAGUGAAGGUGGAGUAUGGAGGUACUGCUGUUCUGCACUGUACUGAUAAAUG
This is a long non-coding RNA of Astyanax mexicanus (Mexican tetra), 182 nucleotides long. RefSeq lists it as uncharacterized. NCBI's taxonomy places the organism in Eukaryota, Metazoa, Chordata, Actinopteri, Characiformes, Acestrorhamphidae. The transcript is spliced from 3 exons. The record is from RefSeq and is a predicted model, not a curated record.